CUUCAGCGACCCCAGCAGCAGCGGCUCCCGCUCGCCGCGCUCCCGGCCGUACGUGGCCAGCAGCGCCUGGGCCUC
RNAcentral lists this antisense RNA (75 nucleotides) under Kitasatospora griseola. RNAcentral's name for it is "ASpks TB sRNA". It matches the Rfam family "ASpks TB sRNA". The record is from Rfam by way of RNAcentral. Lineage: Bacteria; Bacillati; Actinomycetota; Actinomycetes; Kitasatosporales; Streptomycetaceae.